GACGAACGCUGGCGGCGUGCCUAAUACAUACAAGUUGAGCGAUGAAGAUUGGUGCUUGCACCAAUUUGAAGAGCAGCGAACGGGUGAGUAACGCGUGGGGAAUCUGCCUUUGAGCGGGGGACAACAUUUGGAAACGAAUGCUAAUACCGCAUAACAACUUUAAACAUAAGUUUUAAGUUUGAAAGAUGCAAUUGCAUCACUCAAAGAUGAUCCCGCGUUGUAUUAGCUAGUUGGUGAGGUAAAGGCUCACCAAGGCGAUGAUACAUAGCCGACCUGAGAGGGUGAUCGGCCACAUUGGGACUGAGACACGGCCCAAACUCCUACGGGAGGCAGCAGUAGGGAAUCUUCGGCAAUGGACGAAAGUCUGACCGAGCAACGCCGCGUGAGUGAAGAAGGUUUUCGGAUCGUAAAACUCUGUUGGUAGAGAAGAACGUUGGUGAGAGUGGAAAGCUCAUCAAGUGACGGUAACUACCCAGAAAGGGACGGCUAACUACGUG
Molecule: ribosomal RNA, 497 nt
Filed under: uncultured bacterium
Lineage: Bacteria
Description: partial 16S ribosomal RNA
Rfam family: Bacterial small subunit ribosomal RNA
Source: RNAcentral